GCUAAUCGUCAAAGAAUAUUUAUAAUAAAUGGACACAACGAUAGAUAAUGAGAAUUUACCGAGGGGAUUUUUUAAUAACAUCAAACAAAAUUAUGGAGAAAAAGUUGUAAAACAUAUUAAGGGUUACCAACAGAAGUAGAAAGUAUCCUGAAAUUGGAACCUAAAUUUGGGGUGGAGACAAAAAAUAAUAUGAAGUAUCUACCUACGGUUAUCAAGGACGUUGAGUAUGGUAUUGCAUCGGUAAAGGUAGAAAAUUGUGAAACCACUGAAGAAAAUAUUAAAAAUAAUUUAAGAUCCAGAGUAGUUAAUGUCAUUUCAAAUUUUUAUAAAAAGAAUAAAUUGAAUGAAAAACAUCAGAUAAUUAGAAAAAACUUAACGUAUACACGACGGUUCCUCAAGGAUAGACAAGAUUUGAUUGUUGCACGAUCAGAUAAAGGAAAAUGGAUAAAGACCCCACUAACAAGUUCGAGCGUAUAGGUAACAAUAUAGUCAAGAAGAUGAUGGGAUUAAAAUUAAUUGAUAAAUCACGUGCUGAAAGGUUGACGUCGAGGUACACGGUUGCUCCGCGGAUCUACGGUUUGAGGAAAACACAUAAGAAUACAUGUAAAUUGAGACCAGUAGUUAGCUGCAUAAACUCACCCAGUUACAAUUGUGACAUCCAUGUGGAGUGACGUGUUUUUCGGCCGUUAACAAAAAAAAAAAAAUUAAAAUUAAAAAACUAAUUGGAGGAUGUAAUUUAAUAAUCAAAAAUAUGUAUUGAUGCGACUAUAUACAUGAAAAUACAAGAGGUUGGAGAACAAAAUGUAAAUUUAAAGAGCAAUAACUA
Long non-coding RNA from Melitaea cinxia (Glanville fritillary), 826 nucleotides. RefSeq lists it as uncharacterized. Lineage: Eukaryota; Metazoa; Arthropoda; Insecta; Lepidoptera; Nymphalidae. The record is from RefSeq and is a predicted model, not a curated record. The transcript has 5 exons.